UUUCUUUUUUUUUGGGCAACCUCAAAAACUGAUUAUAUGAACAAAAGAAUACAAAAGAGCAAUUCGCUACACACACUUUUUUCCGAAAGUACAGGGGUAUCUCUCUCUCUCUCUAUAGUAAGGCCGAACAAGUAUGGAGUUAUCCGUCUUUUUUAUCACGUUGGUGGAACUCAGAUUGGAACUCUACUCGAUCCGGACCAAGACCACAGUUCAAUUCGGACUUCGCAACAGAUUCGACAGAGAGAAGAUAUGGUAAUACUCGGCUGUGUAUAGAUGGUGACAAGAACUCGAAACUCUAAAGGACUAGACACUAAGACCAGCAACUCGACACAAACCGAAGCAACGCAAAUUCAACAAGCCCUAACUAAAACGGUACUAGCCAAGGCACAAAGGUUUAAUAGGAUUAUGGAAAAACUAAUCUACUAUAUUUUUUUGGCUUUUCUGGACUAUAGGAAAUUAAUUAAAAACAGCAAAGGAUUAGAAGUCUCUCACCGAAGAACCUUGCUCUGAUUACCAACUGAUGCGAACCCGCUAGGGUUUUUGCUGAUCUUUUGAUGAGAGACGGGGAUAACUCGAUUGGUGGAUGGAGAUGACGUUCACGGCCCGACUACAGCCCUCAAGACCGCGCCUUAGCAACCGAUACACCACGUCCAACAGCCGUCACGAUCUUGUGGAGCGCGACAACCAGCCCCUAGGGCUCCCGUCCUGCAAGCAAUCGAAGAACUAGCAAGAACGAGGAAACAAGCACUGAAUUUGCAAGAUGAAUUGAAGGUUUCAAACUGAAUCUGAAUCAACAAUGGGGUUCCGAAGACAAGGAGACGGGCGGCUGAUCCUGCACGCGCGCCUACAAGCAAGUAGCGAAGGCUAAACUUGAUCUAAACAAAACCCAACGACCAUGGCGGCUCUAGAGGGAUAUAAGUAGAUGGAUUGAUGACCAAAGAGGUGUUGGGGUCGUCCUCCAACCCUAGGACGCGUCCCUAAUGGACCCAACUUGAUACAUGGGCCAUCAGCCCAAAAUGAGGUGACGCAGCACCCUGGACAGCAAGACCUAUCGACGGUAAUUGGAUCAUUGCCGCUGCUGCCGAAGAGGUAUUGACGUGGGACUUGAUUCAUAUGAAAGUAGACUUGAUAAGCUUUCCAACAAGUCCUGAAGCGCCUGAAUCCGAAUCCGUAUGCAACCGUGGUAAAGGUCACAAGUUGGCGCUUUGCUGCUGUCCGAAUCCAGCGAGCGUGAGUCCUUCUCCCUUUCGGUCUUCUCCUUGGUUCCUAAUCAAAACAAGAGUGCACGCAUUUGCAUUGUCUAAACAAGAUGGACACGAGCUUAUCAAGGAACUCAAUUGAUUAUUAAGUUGACGAACACGAGCACGAGUAAGAGGACCAGCUAUAGGUUGUGUCGGAGAGGAUGUAUCGCUGGUGUUGAUGUCCUCAUCAUGGAACAUACCAUAUGCUCAGAAAUCAAUUUGGACGCACCAGAUGGAACUCCUAGAUGACAUGUGUCGUAUGGAAUCUCACUUCGGUCCGUUUAGAGACAGUGUUAGUUUCAGUGCAAGAUAGGUGCACGGUUUGUACCUAAUGCACCAUAGGAUAAGAAACCGUUUUGGACGCACCCGAUGGUACUCCUAGGUCAAGGGGCUAAAGUGAAAGCUCGGUUUGGUCUGUUUGGAGAUAGUCUAAUCUAAUCUUGAUGCAAGAUAGAUGCACAGUUUGCAUGGAACAUACGAUAUGCUCAGAAAUCAAUUAGGACGCACCUGAUAUAACUCCUUGAUGAUGUGUGUCAUAUGGAAUCUUGCUUUGGUUCGUUUAGAGACUAUUAGUUUUGGUAGAAGAUAUGUGCAUAGUAUAUGCCUAAUGCACCAUAAGCUAAGAAACUAUUUUAGACGCACUCGAUGGUACUCGUAGUUGAAGAGGCUCAAGUGGAGGCUCGAUUUGGUCUGUUCGCAUAUAGUGCUAAUCUUGAUGCAAGAUAGUUGCACAGUUUGAAUGGAACGUACCAUAUGUUAAGAAAUCAAUUUGGACGCACCCAAUAGAACUCCUAGAUGACAUGUGUCACAUGAAAUCUUGCUUCAGUUCAUUUGGAGACAGUGUUAGUUUUGGUGCAAGCUAGGUGCAUAGUUUGUUCCGAAUGCACCAUAGUCUAAGAAACCAAUUUGGUUGCACCUAUUUGUACUCUUGGGUGAAGAGGCUCAAGUGGAAGCUCGGUUUGGUUUGUUUGGACAUAGUGCUAAUCUUGAUGCAAGAAAGAUGCACAGUUUGCAAGGAACGUACCAUAUGCUAAGAAAUCAAUUUGGACACCCGAUGGAACUCCUAGAUGACAUGUGUCAUAUGGAAACUCGCUUUGUUCUGUUUUGAGACAGUGUUAGCUUUAGUGCAAGAUAGGUGCAAAGUUCGCGCCUAAUGUACCACAGGCUAAGAAACCAUUUUGGACACACUCGAUGGUACUCCUAGGUGAAGAGGGUCUGGUCGAAGCACGAUUCGAUCCGUUUGAAAAUAGUGCUAAUUUUGAUGUGAGAUACGUGCACGGUUUGCAUGAAACGUACCAUAUGCUCGAAAAUCAAUUUGGACGCACCAGAUUGAACUCCUAGAUGAGGUGUGUCAUAUGUAAUCUCGCUUUGCUCUGUUGGAGACAAUGUUAGUUUUGGUGCAAGAUAGGUGCACGGUUUGCGCCUAAUGCACCAUAGGCUAAGAAAACAUUUUGGAUGCACUCGAUGGUACUCCUAGGUGAAGAGGCUCAAAAGAAAGCUCGAUUCAGUCUAUUUGGAGAUAGUGCUAAUCUUGAUGCAAGAUUGGUGCACAGUUUGCAUGGAACAUUCCAUAUGCUUGGAAAUCAAUUUGGACGCACCCUAUGGAACUCCUAGAUGACGUGUGUCAUAUGGAUUCUGCUUUGAUAUAUUUGGAGACUGUGUUAGUUAAGGAGCAAGAUAGGUGCACGGUUUGCGCCUAAUGCACCAUAGGAUAAGAACCCAUUUUGGACGCACACGAUGGUACUCCUGGGUAAAGGGGCUCAAGUGAAAGCUCAGUUUGGUCUGUUUGGAUAUAGUGCUAACUUGAUGCAAGAUAGGUGCACAGUUUGCAUGGAACAUACCAUAUGCUCAUAAAUCAAUUUGAACACACCUGAUAGACCUUGAUGACAUGUGUUAUUUGGAAUCUCGAUUUGGUCCGUUUGGAGACAGUGUUAGUUUCAGUGCAAGAUUGGUGCAUGGUUUGUGCAAAAUACACCAUACUCUAAGAAAUCAAUUUGGACGCACCCGAUGGUACUCCUAGGUGAAGAUCCUCAAAAGAAAGCUCAAUUCCGUCUAUUUAGAGAUAGUGCUAAUCUUCAUGUAAGAUAGGUGCACAGUUUGCAUGGAGCGUACCAUAUGCUCAAAAAUCAGUUUGGACGCAUCCGAUGGAACACCUAGAUGACGUGUCAUAUGGAAUCUCACUUCGGUCUAUUUGGAGACUGUUAGUUUCAGUGCAAGAUAGGUGCACAGUUUGUGCCUAAUGCAUCAUAGUCUAAGAAACCAUUUUGGACACACCUGUUGGUACUCCUUGAUAAAGAGGCUCAAGUGGAAGCUCGGUUCACUCUAUUUGGAGAUAGUGCUAAUCUUGAUGCAAGAUAGGUACACAGAUUACAUGGAACGUACCAUAUGCUCGAAAAUUAAUUUGGACGCACCUGAUGGAACUCCUAGAUGAGGUGUGUCAUAUGUAAUCUCGCUUUGGUUCGUUUGGAGACUGUGUUAGUUUCGAUGCAAGUGCAAGGUUUGGGCCUAAUGCACCAUAGGGAAAGAAACCAUUUUGGAUGCACCCGAUGGUACUCCUACGUAAAGGGUCUCAAGUGAAAGUCAGGUUUUGUCUGUUUGGAGAUAGUCCUAAAUCCUAAUAUUCAUGUCAUGGUUUGCAUGUAACAUACCAUAUGCUCAAAAAUCAAUUUGGACGCACCCGAUAGAACUCCUAGAAGAUGUAUGUCAUUUAGAACCUCGCUUUGGUCUGUAUGGAGAUAGUGUUAGUUUCAGUGCAAGAUACGUGCAUGGUUUGCGCCUAAUGCACCAUACUCUAAGAAACCAUUUUAGACGCACCCAGUGGUACUCCUAGGUGAAGAGCCUCAAGUACAAGCAUAGUUUGGUCUAUUGGAGAUAGUGCUAAUCUUAAUGCAAGAUAGUUGCACGGUUUGCAUGGAACGUACCAUAUGCUUGGAAAUCAAUUUGGACGCACUCGAUGGAACUCCUAGAUGACAUGUGUCAUAUGUAAUCUCACUUUCGUACGUUUGGAGACAGUGUUAGUUUCGGUGCAAUAUAGGUGCACAGUUUGCGCCUAAUGCACCAUAGGCUAAGAAACCAUUUUAGACACACCCGAUGGUACUCCUAGGUGAAGGGGUUCAAGUGGAAGCUCGGUACUGUCUGUUUGGAGAUAGUGCUAAUCUUUAUGUAUGAUAGGUGCACGGUUUGCAUGGAACAUAUCAUAUGCUCAAAAAUCAAUAUGGACGCACCGAAUAGAACUCCUAGAUGAUGUGUGUCAUCCAGAAUCUCAAUUUGUCUGUUUGGAGAUAGUUUUAGUUUGGGUGCAAGAUAGAUGCAUGGUUUGCGCCUAAUGCACCAAACUCUAAGAAAACAUUUUGGACACACUCGAUGGUACUCCUAGGUGAAGAGGCUCAAGUGGAAGCUUUGUUCUAUGUGUUUGGAGAUAGUGCUAACUUGAUGCAAGAUAGUUGCACGGUUUGCAUGGAACGUACCGUAUGCUCGGAAUUCAAUUUGGACGCACCGGAUGGAACUCCUAGAUGAGGUGUGUCAUAUGUAAUCUCGCUUUGGUCCGUUUGGAGACAGCGUUAGUUUUGGUGCAAGAUAAGUGCACGGUUUGCGCCUAAUGCACCAUAGGCUAAGAAACCAUUUUGGACGCACCCGAUGGUUCUCCUAGGUAAAGGGGCUCAAUGAAAGGUACAUUUUGUCUGUUUGGAGAUAGUCUUAAUCUUCAUGUAAGAUAGGUGCAUGGUUUGCAUGUAACGUACCAUAUGCUUGGAAAUCAAUUUGGACGCACCCAAUAGAACUUCUAGAUGACUCGUGUCAUAUGGAAUCUUGCUUCGGUCUGUUUGAAGACAGUGUUAGUUUCGGUGCAAGAUAGGUGUACCGUUUGCGCCUAAUGCACCAUAGGCUAAGAAACCAUUUUGGAUGCACCCGAUGGUACUCCUUGGUAGAGGGGCUCAAGUGAAAGCUUGGUUUGGUCUGUUUGGAGAUAGUGCUAAUCUUGAUGCAAGAUAGGUGCAUGGUUUGCAUGGAACAUACCAUAUGCUCAGAAAUCAAUUUGGACGCACGCGAUAGAACUCCUUGAUGACGUGUGUCGUAUGGAAUCUUGCUUUGGUCUAUUUGGAGACACCGUUAUUUUCGGUGUAAGAUAGGUGCACGGUUUGCGCCUAAUGCACCAUAGACUCAGAAACCAUUGUGGAAGCACCCGAUGUUACUCCUAGGUGAAGAGGCUCAAGUGGAAGCUUGUUUGGGUCUGUUUAGAGAUAGUUCUGAUCUUGAUGCAAGAUAGGUGUACGGUUUGCAUGGAACAUAGCAUAUGCUCAGAAAUCAAUUUGGACGCACCCAAUGGAACUCCUAGUGCAAGAUAUGUACACGGUUUGUGCCUAGUGCACCAUAGGCUAAGAAACCAUUUUAGACGCACCCGAUGGUACUCCUAGGUGAAUAGGCUUAACUGGAAGCUCGGUUUGGUCUGCUCAGUGAUAGUGCUAAUCUUGAUGCAAGAUAGGUGUAUGGUUUACAUGGAACGUACGAUAUGCUCGGAAAUCAAUUUGGACUGACCGAAUGGAACUCCUAGAUGACGUGUGUCAUAUGGAAUCUUGCUUGGGUCCGUUUAGAGAUAUUGUUAGUUUUGGUGCAAGAUAGGUACACGGUUUGCGCCUAAUGCACCAUAGGCUAAGAACCCAUUUUGGACACACCUGAUGGUACUCCUGGUGAAGGGGCUCAAGUGGAAGCUUGGUAGUUAUUUGGAGAUAGUGCUAAUCUUGAGAAAAGAUUAGCAUGGUUUGUGUGGAACAUACCGAUGAAACUCCUAGAUAGCGUGUGUCAUAUGCAAUCUCACUUGAGUGUGUUUGGAGACAGUGCUAGUUUUGAUGCAUGAUAGGUGCACGGUAUGCGCCUAAUGCACCGUAGGCUAAGAAACCAUUUUGGAUGCACUCGAUGUUACUCCUAGGGAAAGGGUCUUAAAUGGAAGCUCGGUUUGGUUUGUUUGAAGAUAGUGCUAAUCUUGAUGAAAGAUAGGUGCACGGUUUGCAUGGAAUGUACCAUAUGCUUGGAAGUCAAUUUGGAUGCACCUGAUGGAACUCCUAGAUGACGUGCGUCAUAUGGAAUCUCACUUCGGUCUGUUUGGAGACUGUUAGUUUUGGUGCAAGAUAGGUGCACGGUUUGCACCUAAUGCAUCAUAGGCUAAGAAACCAGUUUGGAUGCACCCGAUGGUACUCCUAGGUAAAUGGGCUCAAGUGGAAGCUCAAUUUGGUCUGCUUGGAGAUAGAGCUAAUCUUGACGCAAGAUAGGGGCACAGUUUGCAUGGAACGUACCAUAUGCUUAAAAAUCAAUUUGGACGCACCCGAUAGAACUCCUAGAUGAUGUGUGUCUUAUGGAAUCUUGCUUUGGUCUAUUUGGAGACACCGUUAUUUUCGGUGUAAGAUAGGUGCACGGUUUGCGCCUAAUGCACCAUAGACUCAGAAACCAUUGUGGAAGCACCCGAUGUUACUCCUAGGUGAAGAGGCUCAAGUGGAAGCUUGUUUGGGUCUGUUUAGAGAUAGUUCUGAUCUUGAUGCAAGAUAGGUGUACGGUUUGCAUGGAACGUAGCAUAUGCUCAGAAAUCAAUUUGGACGCACCCAAUGGAACUCCUAGAUGACGUGUGUCAUAUGGAAUCUCGCUUUGGUCUUUUUGGAGAAAGUGUUAGUUUCGGUGCAAAAUAGGUGCACGGUUUGCGACUAAUGCACCAAAGGCUAAGAAAUGAUUUUGGACACACCUGAUGGACACGUAGGUAAAGGCGCUCAAAUUGAAAAUAGGUUUGUUCUGUUUUGAGAAGUGCCAAUCUUGAUGCAAGAUAGGUGCACAGGUUGCGUGGCACGUACCAUAUGCUCGGAAAUCAAUUUGGAUGCAUCCGAUAGAACUAGAUGACGUGUGUCAUAUGGAAUUUUACUUCCCUCUAUUUGGAGAUAGUGUUAGUUUUGGUGCAAGAUAGGUGCACGGUUUGAGCCUAAUGCACCAUAGGCAAAGAAACCAUUUCGGACACACCUGUUGGUACCUCUAGGUGAAGGGGCCAAAUGGAAGAUUGGUUUGGUCUGUUUGGAGAUAGUGCUAAUCUUGACGCUAGAUAGGAGCGUGGUUUGUGUGGAACAUACCAUAUGCUCAGAUAUUAAUUUGGACACCCAAUACUAGAUGAUGUGUGUCAUGUGCAAUCUCGCUUUAGUCCAUUUGGAGACAGUGUUUGUUUCGGUGCAAGAUAGAUGCACGGUUUGCGCCUAAGGCACCAUAGUCUAACAAAACCAUUUUGGACACACCUAAUGGUACUGCUAGGUGAAGAGGUCAAGUGGAAGCUCGGUUUGGUUUGUUUGGAGAUAGUGCUAAUCUUGAUGCAAGAUAGGUGCACGGUUUGCAUGGACCGUACCAUAUGCUCAGAAAUUAAUUUGGACGCAACUAAUGAAACUCCUAGAUAACGUGUGUCAUAUGCAGUCUCACUUCAGUAUGUUUGGAGAUAGUGUUAGUUUCGGUGCAUGAUAGGUGCACGGUAUGCGCCUAGUGCACCAUAGGCUAAGAAACCAUUUUGGAUGCACUCGAUGUUACUCCUUGGUAAAGCGGCUUAAAUGGAAGCUCGGUUUGGUUUGUUUGGAGAUAGUGCUAAUCUUGAUGAAAGAUAGGUGCACGGUUUUGCAUGGAAAUGUACCAUAUGAUUGGAAGUCAAUUUGGGUGCACCUGAUGGAACUCCUAGAUGACGUGUGUCAUAUGGAAUCUCACUUCGGUCUGUAUGGAGACAGUGUUAGAUUUGGUGCAAGAUAGGUGCACGGUUUGCACCUAAUGCAUCAUAGGCUAAGAAACCAGCUUGGAUGCACCUGAUGGUACUCCUAGGUAAAUGAGCUCAAGUGGAAGCUCGAUUUGGUCUGUUUAGAGAUAGUGCUAAUCUUGAUGCAAGACAGGGGCACGGUUUGCAUGAAACAUACCAUAUGCUCGAAAAUUAAUUUGCAUGCACCCGAUAGAACUCCUAGAUGACGUGUGUCAUAUGAAAUCUUGCUUCGGUCUAUUUGGAGACAGCGUUAUUUUCGGUGCAAGAUAGGUGCACGGUUUGCGCCUAAUGCACCAUAGACUCAGAAACCAUUGUGGAAGCAUCCGAUGAUACUCCUAGGUGAAGAGGCUCAAGUGGAAGCUCGGUUCGGUCUGUUUAGAGAUAGUGCUAAUCUUGAUGCAAGAUAGGUGCACGGUUUGCAUGGAACGUACCAUAUACUCAGAAAUCAAUUUGGAUGCACCCGACGAAACUCCUAGAUGACAUGUGCCAUAUGGAAUCUCGCUUCGGUCUGUCUGGAGAAAGUGUUAGUUUCGGUGCAAGAUAGGUGCACGGUUUGUGCCUAAUGCAACGGAGGCUAAGAAACGAUUUCGGACACACCUGAUGGACACGUAGGUAAAGGCGCUCAAAUGGAAAAUAGGUUUGGUCUGUUUUUGAGAAGUGCUAAUCUUGAUGCAAGAUAGGUGCACAGGUUGCGUGGAACGUACCAUAUGCUCGGAAAUCAAUUUGGAUGCAUCCGAUGGAACUAGAUGACGUGUGUCAUAUACAAUUUUACUUCCCUCUAUUUGGAGAUAGUGUUAGUUUUGGUGCAAGAUAGGUGCACGGUUUGCGUCUAAUGCACCAUAGGCUAAGAAACCAUUUUGGACACACCUGUUGGUACUUCUAGGUGAAGGGGCUCAAAUGGAACAUUGGUUUGGUCUGUUUGGUGAUAGUGCUAAUCUUGUUGCUAGAUAGGAGCAUGGUUUGUGUGGAACAUACCAUAUGCUUAGAUAUUAAUUUGGACACCCAAUACUAGAUGAUGUGUGUCAUGUGCAAUCUCGCUUUAGUCUGUUUGGAGACAGUGUUUGUCUCGAUGUAAGAUAGAUGCACGGGUUGUGCCUAAGGCACCAUAGUCUAACAAAACCAUUUUGGACACAGCUAAUGGUACUCCUAGGUGAAGAGGCUCAAGUGGAAGCUCGGUUUCGUUUGUUUGGAGAUAGUGGUAAUCUUGAUGCAAGAUAGGUGCACGGUUUGCAUGGACCAUACCGUAUGCUCAGAAAUUAAUUUGGACGCAACCGAUGAAACUCCUAGAUAACGUGUGUCAUAUGCAAUCUCACUUCAGUCUGUUUGGAGACAGUGUUAGUUUUGGUGCAUGAUAGGUGCACGGUAUGCACCUAAUGCACCAUAGGCUAAGAAACCAUUUUGGAUGCACUCGAUGUUACUCCUAGGUAAAGGGGCUUAAAUGGAUGCUCGGUUUGUUUGUUUGGAGAUAGUGCUAAUCUUGAUAAAAGAUAGGUGCACAGUUUUGCAUGGAAUGUACCAUAUGCUUGGAAGUCAAUUUGGAUGCACCUGAUGGAACUCCUAGACAUUGUGUGUCAUAUGGAAUCUCAGUUCGGUCUGUUUGGAGACAGUGUUAGUUUUGGUGCAAGAUAGGUGCACGGUUUGCACCUAAUGCAUCUUAGGCUAAGAAACCAGUUUGGAUGCACCCGAUGGUACUUAGAUAAAUGGGCUCAAGUGGCAGCUAAAUUUGGUCUGUUUGGAGAUAGUGCUAAUCUUGAUGCAACAUAGGGGCAUGGUUUGCAUGGAACGUACCAUAUGCUCAGAAAUCAAUUUGGAUGCAACCGAUAGAACUCCUGGAUGACAUGUGUCAUAUGCAAUCUUGCUUCAGUCUGUUUGGACACAGUGUUUGUUUCGGUGCAUGAUAGGUGCAUGGUUUGCACCUAAUGCACCAUAUGCUAAUAAACCAUUUUGGAUGCACUCAAUGUUACUCCUAGGCAAAGGGGCUUAAGUGGAAGCUCAGUUUGGUUUGUUUGGAGAUAGUGCUAAUCUUCAUGCAAGAUAGGUGCACGGUUUGCAUGGAACGUACCAUAUGCUCAGAAAUCAAUUUGGACGCAACCGAUAAAACUCCUAGAUGACAUGUGUCAUAUGCAAUCUCACUUCACUUUGUUUGGAGAUAGUAUUAGUUUUGGUGCAAGAUAUGUGCACGGUUUGCGCCUAAUGCACCAAAGUCUAAGAAACCAUUUUGGCAUCACCUGUUGGUACUCCUAGGUGAAGAGGCUCAAGUGGAGGCUCGGUUCGGUCUGUUUAGAGAUAGUGCUAAUCUUGAUGCAAGAUAGGUGCACGAUUUGCAUGGAACAUACCAUAUGCUCAGAAAUCAAUUUGGAUGCACCAGAUGGAACUCCUACAUGACAUGUGUCAUAUGAAAUCUCACUUCGGUCCAUUUAGAGACACUGUUAGUUUCGGUGCAAGUAGGUGCAGGGUUUGCACCUAAUGCACUAUAGGAUAAGAAACUAUUUUGGACACACCCGAUGGUACUCCUAUGUCAAGAGGCUCAAGUGAAAUCUCGGGAUGGUCUAUUUGGAGAUAGUGCUAAUCUUGAUGCAAGAUAGAUGCACGGUUUGCAUGGAACAUAUGAUAUGCUCAGAAAUACAUUAGGACGCACAUGAUAUAACUCCUUGAUGAUGUGUGUCAUAUGGAAUCUUGCUUCGGUUCGUUUAGAGAAAGUGUUAGUUUUGGUAGAAGAUAUGUGCACGGUUUACGCCUAAUGCACCAUAGGCUAAGAAACCAUUUUAGAUGCACCCGAUGGUACUCGUAGUUGAAGAGGCUCAAGUGUAGGCUUGAUUUGGUAUGUUCAGAUAUAGUGCUAAUCUUGAUGCAAGAUAGUUGCACAGUUUGCAUGGAACCUACCAUAUGUUAAAAAAUCAAUAGAACUACUAGAUGACGUGUGUCAUGUGGAAUCUCGCUUCAGUCUAUUUGGAGACAAUGUUAGUUUCGGUGCAAGAUAAGUGCAUAGAUUGUGCCUAAUGCACCAUAGUCUAAGAAACCAUUUUGACGCACCUAUUUGUACUCCUAGAUGAAGAGGCUCAAGUGGAAGCUCGGUUCGGUCUGUUUAGAGAUAGUACAAAUCUUGAUGCAAGAUAGGUGCACGGUUUGCAUGGAACAUACCAUAUGCUUGGAAAUCAAUUUGGAUGCACCCAAUGGAACUCCUUGAUGACGUGUGUCAUAUGCAAUCUCGCUUUGGUCUGUUUAGAAACAGUGUUAGUUUUGGUGCAACAUAUGUGCAUGGUUUGCGCCUAAUGCACCAUAUUCUAAGAAACCAUUUUGGAAGCACCUGUUGUUAAUUCGGUGAAGAGGCUCAAGUGGAAGCUCGGUUUGAUCUGGUUGGAGAUAGUGCUAAUCUUGGUGCAAGAUAGGUGCAUGAUUUGUAAGAACAUACCAUAUGCUUAGAAAUCAAUUUAGACGCACCCAAUGGAACUCCUAGAUGACGUGUGUCAUAUGGAAUCUUGCUUCGGUCCAUUUGUAGACAUUGUAAGUUUUAGUGCAAGAUAGAUGCACAGUUUGCGCCUAAUGCACCAUAGUCUAAGAAACCAUUUUGUACGCACUAUUUGGUACUCCUGGGUGAAGAGGCUCAAGUGGAAGCAUGGUUCAGUCAGUUUGGAGAUAGUGCUAAUCCUUAUGCAAGGUAGGUGCAUGGUUUGCAUGGGACAUACCAUAUGCUUGGAAAUCAAUUUGGAUGCACCCGAUGGCACUCCUUGAUGACGUGUGUCAUACGGAAUCUCGCUUCGGUCCAUUUGGAGACAUUGUUAGUUUCGGUGCAAGAUAGGUGCACAGUUUGCACCUAAUGCACCAUAGUCUAAGAAACCAUUUUGGACGCACUUGUUGGUACUCCUAGGUGAAGGGGCUCAAGUGGAUGCUCGGUUCGGUCUGUUUGGAGAUAGUGCUAAUCUUGAUGCAAGAUAGGUGCAUGGUUUGCAUGGAACAUACCAAAUGCUUGGAAAUCAGUCUGGACGCACAUGAUGGAACUGCUAGAUGACGUGUGUCAUACAAAAUCUUGCUUCGGUCUGUUUGGAGACAGUGUUAGUUUCGGUGCAAGAUAGGUGCAAGGUUUGCACAUAGUGCAGCAUAGGCUAAGAAACCAUUUUGGACACACCCGAUGGUACUCCUAGGGAAAAAGCUCAAGUGAAAGCUCGGUUUGGUUUAUUUCGAGAGUGCUAAUCUUGAUGCAAGAUAGAUGCACGGUCUGCAUGGAACGUACCAUUUGCUUACAAAUUAAUUUGGACACCCGAUAGAACUCCUUGAUGAUGUGUGUCAUAUGGAAUCUCGCUUUGGUGUGCUUAGAGACAGUAUUAGUUUUGGUGCAAGAUAUGUGCACGGUUUGCGCCUAAUGCACCAAAGUCUAAGAAACCAUUUUGGAAGCACCUGUUGGUACUCCUAGGUGAAGAGGCUCAAGUGGAGGCUCGGUUCGGUCUGUUUCGAGAUAGUGCUAAUCUUGAUGCAAGAUAGGUGCACGAUUUGCAUGGAACAUACCAUAUGCUCAAAAAUCAAUUUGGACGCACCAGAUGGAACUCCUACAUGACAUGUGUCAUAUGAAAUCUCACUUCGGUCCAUUUAGAGACACUGUUAGUUUUGGUGCAAGUAGGUGCAGGGUUUGCACCUAAUGCACUAUAGGAUAAGAAACUAUUUUGGACACACCCGAUGGUACUCCUAUGUCAAGGGGCUCAAGUGAAAUCUCAGUAUGGUCUGUUUGGAGAUAGUGCUAAUCUGGAUGCAAGAUAGAUGCACGGUUUGCAUGGAACAUACGAUAUGCUUAGAAAUCAAUUAGGACGCACCUGAUAUAACUUCUUGAUGAUGUGUGUCAUAUGGAAUCUUGCUUCGAUUCGUUUAGAGACAGUGUUAGUUUUGGUAGAAGAUAUGUGCAUAGUUUACGCCUAAUGCACCAUAGGCUAAGAAACCAUUUUAGACGCACCUAAUGGUACUCGUAGUUCAAGAGGCUCAAGUGGAGGCUUGAUUUGGUAUGUUCAGAUAUAGUGGUAAUCUUGAUGCAAGAUAGUUGCACAGUUUGCAUGGAAUGUACCAUAUGUUAAGAAAUUAAUUUGGAUGCACCCAGUGGAACUCCUAGAUGAUGUGUGUCAUAUGGAAUCUCGCUUCGGUCUGUUUGGAGACAAUGUUAGUUUUGGUGCAAGAUAGGUGCAUAGUUUAUGCCUAUUGCACCAUAGUCUAAGAAACCAUUUUUGACACACCUGUUUGUACUCCUAGAUGAAGAGGCUCAAGUGGAAGCUCGGUUCGGUCUGUUUGGAGAUAGUGCUAAUCUUGAUGCAAGAUAGGUGCACGGUUUGCAGGGAACAUACCAUAUGCUUGGAAAUCAAUUUGGAUGCACCCGAUGGAACUCCUUGAUGCGCGCGGUUUGGCAAAGAUGCACCAGGAAUAAGAUCAAUUUGGUGCUCAAUCCCGCGUAUAGGUAGCAGCCCAUCCGGUAUCUCACUUGGAAAAACAUCAGCAUACUCCUGCAAAAUGUUAUGAACAGCAGGGGCAAAGAAUGCAGCAUAUCUUCAAUUGAAAUCAAAACACCCUUACAUACCAAAGCAUGAGCAAUAGAUGUGAAAGAAACUAGUUCAUUAACAUCAGAUUUAGUAGCAAGCAUGCAAAGUCCAUUUAAUCUUAUCUCAUCUUUGUUAUUUCCAUUGGUAUCUGCAUUGUUCAUAAUUUUAGCCUUGGUAAUUUUAGCAACUUCAUCACGUAUGAUAGCUUCGGGAGACGGUAGCAAAACAAUUUUCCUAUCAUGGUGCAUAAAUGAAUACUGAAUCGAUCUACCAUGAUGUAUACAUUCCUUAUAAAAUUGCCAUGGUCUACCUAGCAGAAUAUUACAAGCUUCCAUAGGUACAACAUCACAUUCAAUAACAUCAUGGUAUGAACCAAUAGUAAAAUUAACUCGCACCAGUUUUGUUACCUUGGCCUUACCACUGUUGUUUAGCCACCGAAUGUGAUAUGGAUGUGGAUGUGGUUUGGUGGUAAGUGCAAGCUUCUCCACCAUGUCGCUGCUAGCCAAGUUGUUGCAGCUACCUCUGAAAGCCCUAGUUUGGUUUUGGAUAAUUGAUGAAACCCUAGUACUAACCUCUAUGCUAAGUGUGUGUAGACUUGAUGAGGUUAGUACAAGCAAAGUGAUGGAGCAAGUAAUAAUCAUGGUGAUGAUGGUGAUGACCACAAGAUGAUCAAGUGCUCAACUUGGAAAAGAAGAAAGAGAAAAACAAAACCCUUUGGAGAUCAAGGCAAAGGUAUUGCUUAGGGUUUUGGUUUUGGUGAUCAAGACACCAUAGAGGGUGUGAUCACAUUUAGGAUAGAUAGCCGUACUAUAAAGAGGGGAAUUCUUUGGCUAAGCGGUUAUCAAGUGCCACUAGGUGUCAUUGUUCAUGUGCAUGCAUUUAGAACCUAGUGAGCUAACUUAACUCCUUCAAAGAAAAUGAUUGUGAAAAUGCUAACACACGUGCACAUGUUGGUUCACACGUUGUGGUGUUGGCACACUUUGAGAAGGGAGUUGAAGUUUGAAGGGUAGAGAGAGGAUGGGUUCCUCUCUCCCUCCCGCCGAGCUUGCGAGGCGGGAUUCGGCGCUUUUCGAGAAAAUGAAGUGCAUAUUUUCUAUUGCGCCGGUGGGAAAUUUGGAGAAGUCGCGGGAGUGUUUUUCACCGAGAAACACUCACCGGACGCUGGCUUCUGGAGCACCGGACGCUGCGUCCGAGCGUCCGGUGUGCAGGCGUUUUGCGACCCUCUCUGCGCAUGGGUCCGGUGAGCACCGGACGCUCAGGGUGCGUCCGGUGGCUUGCGUCCGGUGACCCUGCGAGUUUGCGGAGCUCUCUGCGCAUGAGUCCGGUGUGCACCGGACGCGUCCGGUGCCAACCUGCUCAGCGUCCGGUGCUCUGCAGGUUACCGUUAGACUCUGACACGCGGCUGACGUUAGAGCACCGGACGCUGGUGUUGAGCGUCCGGUGCCCCUUUAAGAGCGUCCGGUGACCCCGUAUUUCGCCCAGUGAAAGAGCCAACGGCUCUAUUUGCUUGAGGGGCUAUAAAUACGUGUUUGGCCGGCUUAGGGCUCACACUCUUGGCAUUCUUGACUACUAGACAUCCUUGUGAGCCUAAGCAAACACCUCCCACUCAUCUCCCUCAUAGAUUAAACAUCUUUGUGAGAUUGGGAGUGAUUCCAAGUGCAUUUGCUUGAGUGAUUGCAUCUAGUGGCACUUGGGGAUCGUUUUAGCUGCGGUUUUCUUGUUACUCUUGGUGGUUGCCGCCACCUAGACGGCUUGGAGCAGCGGAGGAGGAUAGGCACGAGUUGGUGAUUGUUCGUGGCCAUCUCCCGGUGAUUGUGAGGGGUCUUGUACCUUCCACGGUGGAGAGCCGAAAGGUAACUCUAGUGGAUUGCUCGUGUCAUUGAGUUACCUCACUUGUGGGUAGGUUCUUGUGGUGUCCUAGUGAGGACGAGGUUCGUGCUACACCUCUUAGCCACCGAACCACCAAGUGUUGGUCGACACAACGGGGACGUAGCGUGCCGGCAAGCACGUGAACCUCGGGAGAAAAAUUGGUGUCUCAAUUGUGUUUGAUUGGCAUUCUCCCGGUGCUUGAUUGUUUAUAUUGGUGAUUGGUUCAUCCCCUACACGGCGGUAUAAAUAUCUCAUCUUAUCUUUACUUACUGCAAACUAGUGUAAUUACUUUAGUUGCUUACUUUGACUUGUGUAGCUUAGUUCUCUAGUGUAACUUGUAGAGACUUAGUUCUUGUGUGCAUAGAGAUCUUAGCAACUAGAAUUGAUUGGGUAGGUGGCUUGCAAACACCCCUUUAGAGCUAGAGCAAAAAGCUUCGCUUUGUUAUUUACUAACCUUUUGCUCUAGUGAGUUUGUAGAAUUUUUAAAUAGGCUAUUCACCCCCCCCCUCUAGCCAUCCUUUCAACCUCCAUCAAUAAUCAAACGACAAGAACACUCUUUAAUAACACACUUUGUUUGGAACAAUGUAUGCUGCUGAUUCUACUCUGCCUUCUCUGCUUGAGCACUAAGCACACGCUGCACAAUAAGACUCUCAUAAUGCUCUGCAUUCUCUGCAACUAUCUGCUCUUCUGUUGCUUCAUCCCUACCUGUAUCAUCAGCAGCAAGCAAAGCACAUGUAUCAUCAUCAAAAUCACUAGCAGAGCAAUACCCACCAUCAGCGUUGACCACCAAAACACGCUUGCUUGCACAAUCUCGCUGUACGUGCCCAUAGCCCUUGCAUCGAUGACACUGAACAUCUCUUGUUCUUCCCGUGGGAUUAACUGAGGAGGCACUAGCAAUUGGUCUCUCAGCUGAUUUGGUUGUUGUAUUUGUGGAAGAAUCACGUGGUUUGUCGCUGUAAGAAGGUGGUGGAGCUAUUGAUCGGCUUGAUGGAAGAGGUACACCACCCAACAAUGUAGCAGAUGUGCAUUGUUGCCAGGAUUUCCCUGUAGAAUUGUUAGAUUUGGCACUAGAACGUCGUCCCUGCACUUCCCUCUCAGCUUUACAAGCAAGAUGAAACAAACAGGUUACGUUAGUAUAAUCUUUAUAAGCGAUAAUGUCCUAGAUUUCACGAUUUAACCCGCCCAAAAAUCUAGCCAUAGCAGGUUCUUCUUCCUCCUAAAUUACAUCGCAGCAUACCCAAUUGUAAUUCCUGAUAAUAUUCUUCUACACUUUUAGCACCUUGUCUCAAUUGCUGCAACUUAUUAAUCAUGUCAUGAGCAUAGUAAGAAGGAACAAAUCUAUCCCUCAUGACUCGUUUCAAUGCAUUCCAAGUUCUAGGUAUGUUAUUAGGAUUUUUCUUGCCAUGUUCUGUCCACCAAAUGGAAGCAAAAUCGGUGAACUCACUAGUAGCAGCCCUAACACGUGUAUCCUCAGGGAAUUCAUGACAUGUAAACUUUUGGUCAACAACAAUCUCCCAAGUAAUGUAUGCAUCAGGGUCAUAUUUACCAUCAAAAGGAGGUAUUUUUAAAUUUAAUCUUACUGAAAGCAUCAUUAUUAUUGUGUACCUCGCGUCGAUGGUGGCCACCCAUACCUCUACGGGUGUGAUGUAGGCGACGUCGAUGAUAAGUGUCUUGAUCAUCUCGUUCAGUAUCAGCAGUUAAUCAUCAUCAUAAUUGCCAUCCACUCGGUCUUCCUCCUUGUUUUCUUCCUUAUGCUUCUCUUUAUCCAUUGUGUGGAAGUCAUCAAAGCGUUUGAGAAGAGCAGCAAGACUUUUAUCCAUAAUAGCAAUAGAUGCCUCCAUCUUCGUAAUCUUGUUGUUUGUGGCAAUCUGCUGUCCUCCAACUGCCCAAGCUUGUCAUUCGUCACCUUCAAGUCGUCAUCAAGCCCCUCUAUGUGUAGCCUCACUUGCCUUUCAAAAUGUUGUAUGAUGCCCUUAGUGCGAGGUGAGUGCGGAAUUUUGUUGGCAUCCUCUGUCUCUGACAUGGUUUGAAAAAAAUACAGUGGAAACAAGAAAAACCGGUGAAGAAAUAAAAACCCUACAGCUAUUAGGAUGUGGCUACUGUAAGACGCUCUCUAUCAACAUGUCUAACAAGUUCAUACCAAUUCUUACCUUGCUCAACAGGAGGGAUUGGCUACCAACAAAUCCACAGCAAUAGACGAAGUGUAUCGGUGCCGCAGCAACAAGACCUAUCAAGCUGUAGAAUAUGUGGAGCUAUAUGUGGGCUGAAACAAGGAUCAAACUAGCACCACGUUAGUUAUAAAACCAAGUUGAAUAAACGCUCAAUGGUGGUACUGUGCGGGGCCUAGACCGUGCUAGAGACGUGAGCCUGGACACAAAGAAAAAACACAGCACACCACCGGAAACAAAAUGAGCAGCCCUACUGGAAACAAAAGGAACAACAAUCCCCUUUUCUUUUUGAUUUUUUUCUUUCUUUUCUUUCUUUCUUUUUGUUCUUUCUUUUUCCUUUCUUUUUUUUCUUUCUCUUUUCUUUUUUCGGGAAACCUCAAAACCUGAUUAUAUAAACAAAAGAGUACAAAAUAUCACUUCACACUCUCACCCUCUCACUAGAGUAAGGCUGAACCUCAAAAUUCAAUAUGUCUAGCACAAGUAUGAAGUGUUAUCUUUCCUUUUGGAUCAUGUUGAUGGAAACGCAGAAUAGACCAACAAGUGGCUGCAUCUAUUAUCAAGAUCUACUCAAAUUCCAACCCACAAUAGAUUGGACACAGCUCUGACAAGAUGGUGACAAGAACUCGAAACUCUAAAGGACUAAACUAAAACCAACACUAGACACGACCGAAGCAAACACUCAUUCAACCAGCCCUAACUAAGUAGUACUAGCCACGGCACAAAGGAUUUAUAGGAUUAUGGAAAACAAAUCUGCUAUAUUUUUUGGCUUUUUUUGGACUAUAGGAAAAACAACACGAAGAAUUGGAAAUCUCUCACCGAUAAACCUUGCUCUGAUUACCAACUGAUGUGAACCCGCUAGGGUUUUCGCCCGAUCUUUCGAUGAGAGGCGCUGGAUAACUCGAUUGGUGAAUGGAGAUGACGUUCAUGGCCCGACUAUAGCCUUCCAAGCGCCUUAGCAACCGAUACACCGCCUCCAAUGGCUGUCAUGAUCUUGUGGAGCGCAACACCCGGCCACUAGGGCACUCGUCCUGCAAGCAAUCGAAGAACCAGCAAGAACAAGUAGAACAAGUACUAAAUUACUAGAUGUAAAUGAAGGUUUCAAACUCAAUCUCCAAUGAAGUGGGGUUCCAAAAACAAGAAGACAGGUGGCUGGAUCAGCACGCGCGUUUACAAAGAAGUAGCGAAGGCUAAACUUUAUCUAAUCAAAACCCAGUUGCUCAUGGCCGCUCUAAAUGCAAAUAAACAGAGGAGAGGACAACCAAAGGGGUGCUAGAGUCAUCCUCCAACCAUAGGACGCGUCCCUAAUGGA
This 18866-nucleotide long non-coding RNA is filed under the name Sorghum bicolor (sorghum). RNAcentral describes it as "long non-coding RNA (SBIC_LNC008927)". The record is from RNAcentral. Lineage: Eukaryota; Viridiplantae; Streptophyta; Magnoliopsida; Poales; Poaceae.